Molecule: long non-coding RNA, 782 nt
Organism: Prosopis cineraria
Lineage: Eukaryota; Viridiplantae; Streptophyta; Magnoliopsida; Fabales; Fabaceae
Exons: 3
Source: RefSeq, a predicted model, not a curated record
GCUGAGGCAAAGAGAGUGUCUGUGAGCCAAGUUCACCGGUGCUGGGUUUUAAGGAAAAGAGUCACGAGUGACAUGUGGAGGAGUCCCAGAGACUUAGUGAUUACAGGUUCAUUCCAGCUCAGUGGCAAAAUAUAAAUUGGUAACAUGAUGACACAUGGUGUGUGGUGAGAGCGACACGUGAAGGAUGACAUGGCACCAUGUUGUGCGAGGUGGUAACAUGAUGACACAUGGUGUGUGGUGAGAGCGACACGUGAAGGAUGACAUGGCACCAUGUUGUGCGAGGUGGGGCCCUAUAUGGAGGGUGACAUGGCGCCACAUGGAUGGUAAUGUGGUGCCAUUUGUGUAAGUGAACCAACAUUACUUUUCAGUAAUGACAAAAAAGUUGCCGCUAAUUGGUAGCUUUCGCAGUGACAGAUGUCCCCACUGAUACUUAACAUUUAGUGGUGACAAAAUAGUCACUGCUAAUGGGUGGUUUUUGCGGUGACAUAUGUUACCACUGAUACUUAACAUUUAGUGGUGACAAAAUAGUCACUACUGAUGUGUGGUUUUUGCGGCAACAAAAUGUCGCCGUCGAUUUUCAACUUUUAGUGGCUAUUAUCAUUUGGCUGCGACAAAUUUUCUUUUCUGCGGUGACAUUUGUCGUUGCCAAUUCUUAACUUUCAGCAACAACUUUUAUUGUUGCCGCAGAUUGAAUUAGUGAUAAGAGCUCUCGCGGCGACAUUGUGACGAUUUUUUGUCGCUGCUGAAAACUUUCAAUUUUUUUGUAGUGGAUCUUUGUUAAA